Molecule: long non-coding RNA, 1125 nt
Organism: Drosophila pseudoobscura
Lineage: Eukaryota; Metazoa; Arthropoda; Insecta; Diptera; Drosophilidae
Exons: 2
Source: RefSeq, a predicted model, not a curated record
CCGCACCCACAUUUGUAGUUUUUUUUUCAGUGGGUAGGCCCAGGUUUUCAUUUCUUUUGGCAACUAUUACGCCAGUUAAUUGUCAGGCUCGAAUAAAAGCAUUCAGAGCGGCGCCGAUGCACAAUUGGAACUUGUUCAGUCACUUUCGCUGAAAAAUUUCAUGUAGACUGACAGCCGACUGUCGUUGACACUUGGCGGUGACACUUUGCGCAUGCGUGCCAGAGCCAGAGGCCCCCAGAUGCCCCCCAGAUGCCCCCAGAUCCCCCCCUGUCUAAGUCAGAGUCCAGUUCGGACAAUGUCCGAAGUUUUAUUGUUGCCCUGGCUGGUCCGUCGCAACGCUUGUUUCAAUUGUUGCUAUUAAUUUUAUUUUAUUUAUACCGCACAGUACUUUUUCUGCACGCCUCGACGCGACGGCAAUUGACUUCAAAUGUCUCGCAUUUGGCCGGCCGAAGAGAAAAGUUACAACAACUAUGAAAGUUUCUGUGGGCUCUGUGCACAUUCAUUUUGGCUUUUUCUUCAUUUUUUCGAUAAUAACCAUCACAAAUUGAAACUAAUAUAGCUUGACUUGAUAACUUUCCCAAAAGAAAAUAAUGAAAAGCUGCAUUUAAAUCACACAGUUCGCCAGAGAAACAGAUAGAAAUUUGGAGAAUGUGGGAAUAUUAUGUAAUAUUAUUAAUCGGCAAUCAAUUACCAAUAGACCCGUGUAGGCAGCUAAGCCAUUUCGCGCUGCUUUCGGUUUCCAUGAAGGUGAAAACCGCAUUCAUAAUCUCCAAUAGAGUACAAGGGGUCUCUCAAUGCGAGCAGAAAAUUCAAUAAAACACCGAUACGCAAUUCUAGAUCGAUAAUCGAUUAAUAACCGUCUAAAUUUAAAUUUGGGCCUCGAAAUAACCGCAAUUCAAAAGAAUCGCAUGGGGGCUUGUCUCAGCAGCUUUUCAACUAAAUUUCAUUUGUCAAAAUAUACAAAAUAAAUACAGCACAAAUAUGGAUUUACGGAGACAUAUGCUAAAAGAUGAACUCUUUGAUAAGCUGUGACGGUCAGAAGUCGUAUUAAAAGAUGUCUGAAAAGGAAAAGAGCUCAAUAAACUAAGUAAUGGAGAACGCAUCAAUUAUAAAGUCAAAUCAAAU